Long non-coding RNA from Frieseomelitta varia, 534 nucleotides. RefSeq lists it as uncharacterized. The transcript is spliced from 3 exons. The record is from RefSeq and is a predicted model, not a curated record. NCBI's taxonomy places the organism in Eukaryota, Metazoa, Arthropoda, Insecta, Hymenoptera, Apidae.
UUCUAUCAGAAUUGAUUCAAAGUGUUUCGUAAAACGAAUACGGCACACGGCAAAUGGAAAAUAAAGAGAGAAACGAAGUGACUGGCGGUAAACGUGCAGAGUUUAAAACAAUAAUUGUAUUACAGUGUUAUUUACCAAUACGUAUGUACAACCGAACAAUAGCGGUUUAUAUUCGUCGAAUCGUGAUUAAAAAAAAGGAAUCUGUAGCAUUUUUAAUUUUCAAACAUUAAUAGUUGAUAUUGUAUGCUUCGUCAACUGGCCGCCGUAAUAGUUCUUGAAACUAGUUUCGUGGUAUUAUAUGCGUACAAAAUUAAUAAAAUAAACGUGUUAGAUAUCUUGAUAAUUAAUAAAGUACGAACAAGCAACAUGAUACAUGACUAGUUAGCGAAGCAUUACUGUUUAUGAGAUAUCCUAUUAUACUAGUAAUUCAAGUGUGACGAUGAAUUAGUAUUACAGCUUUCUAUGACAGGAAAAAUUUAGCCGGCGAGAAAGUACUGAUCGAUCGUGUCGUUUGACAAGAGGAUCCUUUUUUUU